UCAUAUAAUAACUUUUAAAAUGCACAAAAAUAAGAAGUAUAUAAAAGAAAAAAAAAAUGGCUUCCAAGAAGCACUUCUCAACAAUAGUUGCUAUUGUCUUUAGUCUUCUGCUUCUCUUCACUACCACUGUCACCUCAAAAAGGCAUUUGCUUACAUCUCCUAAUGUUAAUGGACAACGAUAUGGAACUCAGGAAGCUUUGGAGAAUCCAUGGGACCCCGGCUCCUACGGUAGUCAAUGGGGUGGUGGAUGGGGAGGAGGAGGACCUCAAAAGCAAACAUCUCAGCAAAAGGAGAAAGUUAAAACUUAGAGAAAAAUAUAUGGACAAUAAUAUAUGAAUAUAGUGUCCUAAAGUGUAAUAUAAACUACAAGUAUCUAAGGGCCUCUUUGAAAUUUCUUUUCAAGUGCUUUAGAAGAAAAACUACUUUGAGGUAUAAACCCUUGAAACGUCAGUUCAAACAGAUUAUCUAAAAUGUGUUUAAGAAUAAUAAGUGCAAAUGUAGUUUGUAAGUAAUAGAAUUAGUGGUUGAUUUCUAUGCUAUUCGCUUUUGUUUAGGAGUUAGUGGUCUUGGCUUAAUGUGAUUGAUCAAGGGAGAAUUGUAAUUAGGUUGGGACGAGUACUUGUGGUCUAUGUAUGUAUAUAGUUAGUGUGUUAGUGGUCUGUUUUUUAUGUAAUGUUUCCAUUUCAAUAAAUAUAGAUGUGAUCAUAUAUCUUGAUCCUUUAUGUAA
Molecule: long non-coding RNA, 727 nt
Organism: Cucumis sativus (cucumber)
Lineage: Eukaryota; Viridiplantae; Streptophyta; Magnoliopsida; Cucurbitales; Cucurbitaceae
Exons: 2
Source: RefSeq, a predicted model, not a curated record